AUGUGUCAGACUACUACACUACAGUUCAGACUACUAUACUACAGUUCAGACUACUAUACUACAGUUCAGACUACAGUUCAGACUACUACACUACAGUUUAGACUACUAUACUACAGUUCAGACUACUAUACUACAGUUCAGACUACAGUUCAGCCUACUACACUACAGUUCAGACUACUAUACUACAGUUCAGACUACAAUGCUACCGUUCAGACUACUACACUACAGUUCAGACUACAAUACUACAGUUCAGACUACUAUACUACAGUUCAGACUACAAUACUACAGUUCAAACUACAAUACUACAGUUCAGACUACUAUACUACAGUUCAGACUACUAUACUACAGUUCAGACUACUGUCCAAUUGUUUACUUCAUUCAUUGGUUCAGACUAUUAUACUACGGUUCAGACUACUACACUACAGUUCAGACUACAAUACUACAGUUCAGACUACUAUACUACAGUUCAGACUACAGUUCAGACUACUACACUACAGUUCAGACUAUUACACUACAGUUCAGACUACAACACUACAGUUCAGACUACCACACUACAGUUCAGACUACUAUACUACAGUUCAGACUACUACACUACAGUUCAGACUACAUUUCAGACUACAACACUACAGUUCAGACUACUACACUACAGUUCAGACUACUACACUACAGUUCAGACUACUAUACUACAGUUCAGACUACAAUACUACAGUUCAGACUACUAUACUACAGUUCAGACUACUGUCCAAUUGUUUACUUCAUUCAUUGGUUCAGACUAUUAUACUACGGUUCAGACUACCACACUACAGUUCAGACUACUACACUACAGUUCAGACUACAACACUACAGUUCAGACUACUAUACUACAGUUCAGACUACUAUACUACAGUUCAGACUACUAUACUACAGUUUAGACUACUAUACUACAGUUCAGACUACUAUACUACAGUUCAGACUACUAUACUACAGUUCAGACUACUACACUACAGUUCAGACUACUAUACUACAGUUCAGACUACAGUUCAGACUACUACACUACAGUUCAGACUACUAUACUACAGUUCAGACUACUAUACUACAGUUCAGACUACUAUACUACAGUUCAGGAUGUUACGUAUAGUAGCGGUAGAAGCAGUAGUUGUGUGUUUCAGUCGCAGUAGAAUUGUAAAACUUUCACCAAGGCACUUCUGUACAGAAACAAUCUAA
Molecule: long non-coding RNA, 1203 nt
Filed under: Salmo trutta (river trout)
Lineage: Eukaryota; Metazoa; Chordata; Actinopteri; Salmoniformes; Salmonidae
Description: lncRNA (ENSSTUG00000001796.1)
Source: RNAcentral